This 653-nucleotide long non-coding RNA is filed under the name Callithrix jacchus (white-tufted-ear marmoset). Its description in RNAcentral is "lncRNA (ENSCJAG00000071536.1)". Lineage: Eukaryota; Metazoa; Chordata; Mammalia; Primates; Cebidae. The record is from RNAcentral.
GGCUUACUGAAUAUACAGCUAUUCUUCAGCUUCCUGGUUCAUUCUAAGCUGAUAGCUAAUCUUUGGCAUUUGGUGCAUUGGGCUUAAUUAUGAUAAAGAAUGUUUAAUGGGUUAUCUUGAACAAAAUGGUGCACUUAACGACAAUUUUAAGAAUAGUUUUGUUCAACAAAGCUUGUUAUUUAAAGAAAUGAAUGUAUAGUCUCCAAAGAAAAAUUUUAUUAAAAUUGUAUUAAGGUUAUAGAAAUGGCAAAGUAUGUUAUUUUCUUCCCUUUGUGUUCUCUAGCUAUUCAGCCUUCCCUCACCGAUUCGAAGCAUUGAAAGGUCCUCGCCUGCUGAUGUUUCAGUUUCCUUGUUCCUAGCAAGAGCUUCGGAAUCAACAGAAGGGAACAAAGGCACCCGAAAAGCCCAGAUGGGUCACGACAACCAGUGAUUUUGAGCUCAGUUGUAUCGAUAUUUAUUUGCGACCUACUGAUUCAACCAAAAGAGGAGCUGGAGUGUCUGAGAUAUGCUCAGCUGGCAAUCUUCCACCAAUCAGUGUCUUAAGCCCAGACCUGGAAAUGGAGCAGUGGAUUUUAUGGGAAACAAACACCAAUGAUAAGGUUUGAUAUAUCUGUUAUUUGAUGAAACAAUAAGGAAAUUCAGAUGCAAGAUAC